GAUCCUGGCUCAGAAUCAACGCUGGCGGCGUGCCUCAGACAUGCAAGUCGAACGAUUAAAGCUUCCUUCGGGAAGUGCAUAAAGUGGCGCACGGGUGAGUAACACGUAAGUAAUCUACCCUCGAGUGGGGAAUAACGUUCGGAAACGGACGCUAAUACCGCAUAAUGCAGCGGCACCGCAAGGUGACAGUUGUUAAAGAUUUAUUGCUUGAGGAGGAGCUUGCGGCAGAUUAGCUAGUUGGUAAGGUAAUGGCUUACCAAGGCUACGAUCUGUAUCCGGUCUAAGAGGACGGUCGGACACACUGACACUGAAUAACGGGUCAGACUCCUACGGGAGGCAGCAGUCGGGAAUUUUGGGCAAUGGGGGAAACCCUGACCCAGCAACGCCGCGUGAAGGAUGAAGUAUUUCGGUAUGUAAACUUCGAAAGAAUAGGAAGAAUUAAUGACGGUACUAUUUAUAAGGUCCGGCUAACUACGUGCCAGCAGCCGCGGUAAUACGUAGGGACCAAGCGUUGUUCGGAUUUACUGGGCGUAAAGGGCGCGUAGGCGGCGCGGUAAGUCACUUGUGAAAUCUCUGAGCUUAACUCAGAACGGCCAAGUGAUACUGCAGUGCUAGAGUGUGGAAGGGGCAAUCGGAAUUCUUGGUGUAGCGGUGAAAUGCGUAGAUAUCAAGAGGAACACCUGAGGUGAA
RNAcentral lists this ribosomal RNA (690 nucleotides) under uncultured Acidobacteriota bacterium. RNAcentral describes it as "bacterial SSU rRNA". It matches the Rfam family "Bacterial small subunit ribosomal RNA", at positions 15 to 719 of the family's 1533-position model. The record is from RNAcentral. Lineage: Bacteria; Pseudomonadati; Acidobacteriota.